This 3355-nucleotide unclassified non-coding RNA is filed under the name Orussus abietinus. RNAcentral describes it as "nardilysin, transcript variant X3". Lineage: Eukaryota; Metazoa; Arthropoda; Insecta; Hymenoptera; Orussidae. The record is from RNAcentral.
AUAAGGGAUUAAUUAUGGCUUGAAUAAUUAUAAACUAGAUCAUUAAGAAGUCAAGAAUAUAUGAUACUUUUUUUAUUAAUAAUAAAAUCAUAAUUGGGUGCAUAAUAAUUAUUACGUUUUGCCUUAAUUUCUCUAUGAAAUCUUGCAUCAGUAUUACUUUUCGAGUGAAAUUAAUGAAAUAAAACCUGUAAGUAUCGGUCGAAUGAAACUAAAAACAAAACAAAAAGAACAUGUAACUGCAUAUUUUGAAAUGUUUUGAGGUGCAUCUAAAGAACUGAGUUUUAACAGGUUUUAAUCUUGUAAUAACUAGCGAUUGUGUAUAUCACUCUAGAACCAAGUGCCCUAGUUACGUUUGGUUGGCAUGAAGAAACUGAAAGAACCAAGAUGUCUGCAAAAGUUGGCACAAUGGUCCCUGAUAUCAAAAAAGUUCCACUUCAGAUUUCACCGCAUUUACAAACGUACGAUUGCCGAAUGAUCAUAAAUAAUUGCGAUAUGAAUGCAGUAACUGACUAUAAGCAAAGAAUACAGAUGUCUCUCUGAAUUCUUUGCUAUAAGUAUUCAAUAAUUAUCUUAGAAUUUUCAAAUUUACAACUGUUUAAAUUAGAAAGUGGAAUCGUAGUUCCACGUGACAUUCCCCUCUACCGGUUUAACAUUUUGGCGUAAACCGCAAAAAUUUUCGCGUGCAGUUUUCCUUAUUGGCAAAAGCGGUGAAUCACGACGAAUGCGUGGCACAAUGUAACGGGAAUUUGCCUGAUCAGUCGACAGGAAUCUCUCCGGAUCCUUCCAUACCCGGCAGUACCGGCUCACCCGGCACGAAUUGUAUUGGCUACUCGGCUUGCAAUUACUUGUCAAAUACAAGAUGGAACUCGAUGGAAGAAAUCGCUUCGAGCCUGAUGCUAGACAAAAUAAUGGUAUCCACUAUUUGGAUCCACCUAUUAAAUCAGAAUCUGAUAAAAAAGAAUAUAGAGUUAUCAAAUUGGCAAAUGGAUUAACUGCGUUGCUCAUCUCAGAUUUUUGUUUAAAGUCUAACUUUGAUGCAGAAGGAAAACCGCAAACAGGCGAUAUUGCUGGAAAUUAUGUUAAUUUCUUAAACCAUGAGUCUUGGCAGGAAGAAGAAAAACUGGCUAGUUGUUCUUUAACGCUGGAUGUUGGAAACUUCUCUGAUCCGGAAGAAGUUUAUGGCUUGGCUCUUUGUUUGAAGCAUAUGAUCGUCGCAGGAUCUGAGAAGUACCCACAGGAAAAUGAUUUUGAUGAAUUUGUUAAAACGUUUGAUGGUUUUCAAUGUGCUAUAGCAGAGGGUGAUCAUACCACGUUCUUCUUUGAGAUAAAAGAAGAUUACUUACUCCCUGCCGUGGACCGUUUCACACAACUUUUUAUUAAUCCUCUCUUAAAGAGAAAUGCAUUUAACAAAAUAAAACAAGCUGCAGCCAAUGAAUUUCAGUUGAAUGAAGGAAUUGAUUGCAAUCGUAAACAUAUGCUGUUGGGAAGUCUACUUAAGCCUGGUCAUCCUGCUUCACGAUUUUUGGGGGGCAACUUAAAAAUAAUACAAAAUUAUAUUACGGAUGAUAAAUUAUUCGAGGUACUAUAUAUCUUUUAUAAACGAUAUUACAGUGCACAUAGAAUGACAGUGGCAAUACAAGCUCAAUUUUGUUUAGAUGUAUUGGAAACAUACGUCAAGGAUUAUUUUUCGGCAAUUCCAAAUAAUGGACUGCUGCCCGAUGAUCUUUCUCGAUUUGACUGUGGUGUGACUGCCUUUGAUAUUGAGAAGUUUCGAAAAAUCUAUAAAAUGAAACCUGUUGACAAUACUUGUGAGGUUAUGCUUUCAUGGAUAAUGCCUCCUGAGUUUAGACAUCGCAAUGAUAAAGUUCAUAGAUACGCUGCAUGGAUUUUGGGACAUGAAGGUAAAGGCAGUUUAGCCAAUUAUUUUCGUAAAAAACUCUGGUGCUUGGAACUGAGCGCUGGAAUUAAAGGAUCCAGUUUCGAAAGCAAUAGCUUUUAUUCUUUAUUCAAUAUCAGUGUGACUUUAACCGAUGAAGGCCGGAAGCAUUUAAGGGAAAUCUUGGAUUCUAUAUUUUCUUAUAUCAAUUUAUUACAUAGAAAAAAUCCAUGCAAAUCACUGUACGAUGAAAUAAAACGAACAAUGGAUUUCGAGUUCAGAUUCGUUGAUGAACUGCCUGUCAACGUAAAUACAUAUUUCCUUUCCUGGGGAAUGCAAAAAUAUUCUAAAUCAACUGAUUAUGUCAUUGGCAAAUAUUUAUGUCCCGAGUUUAACCAACAAGUAAUUAAAGACUAUUUGCAAAAUAUCACUCCAGACAAUGUUAACAUUAUGAUUGCUGAUAAACAAUUUGACGAUGCUAUGUUGAAAAAUGUUGAACCUCGGCUCCGAACGAAAUAUAUUUGCGAAGAAAUACCUACAGAGUGGGUGGACCGAUGGAGAACAAUAGAGCCUUAUGCCGAAUUUCAUUUACCAGAACCGAAUACUUUUCUACCAGACGAUUUCUCUUUGAUUUCACCCACUACAGAUAUUUUCAAAUAUCCCGUCGAAAUUUACCACGACGAGAUAGCUGAAAUUUGGUAUAAACCAGAUUACAAAUACAAACGUCCUCAAUGUUACAUGAAUGUUUUGCUUAUCUUCGAAUGUGCAUUUGUUUCGCCAAAACAUGCAGUUGUGUUGGACGUAUUAAUUCCUGUUCUGAAGCAUUUACUCGCAGAGCAAUUGUAUCCUGCUAGCUUGGCGAAACUUAAUCACUCUAUCGAUGUGGGUUCAAGAAGCAUGACCAUAAAAGUUAAUGGAUUUAAUCAAAAAGUGCCGAGCUUACUACAUAUUAUACUGAAAUAUCUGGUAGACCUGCCCAAUUUGGUAACAGAAGAAUUAUUUAACAGCAAAAAAGCAACAAAACUGAAGGAGUAUCGAGAUCACUUUAUAUUGCCAUCGAAUUUAAUAUGGGAUGUGCAUAAGUCUAUCACAGUGAUGACAAAUUGGACAACCGUUGACAAGCAUGCAGUUCUAAGUACACUUGAGUUUGACGAAUUUAAAUUUCUUGCAUCUAUGUAUCUGAGUCGAGCUAGUAUUCGUUUCCUUGCACAAGGGAAUAUUCUUGAAAAUGAGGUCAAUGGUUAUGUAAAGUAAAAAACAUCGAUCCUAGUGUAACAAUGUCGGCUGUAAUGAAUUACUAUCAAGUGGGUUUCACAGAUCAAGAAUUAAGACUCAAGAUUGAACUGUUAACAUUUAUUAUGAAACAACAAAAGUUUGACAAAUUGAGGAUACAGCAUCAAUUGGGUAAUGGUGGGAUGUACGAGUUUCAACUAUCACUUAAUGUUAUUGGUUUGAUAAUUAAUAUUGUGAAGAAUACUG